GUUAGCAACGAUGAUUUUUGGGAAAUGCACCCCUUUAUGACCAUUGCUAAUGUUAUUUAGUUACUCUCAAUCUUUUCUAAUAGGACUGCAAACAACCCUGUGAUAGCCAUUGGUGUUAUUGAACGUCGACAUUUUGUAAUUUACCCCACGUUAUACUCACUGUGGCAGAUGUACUAUUGGUUAUUUAUUUGUUAGCCUUAUUGUGACAAAUGCUUGUCUCUUCAGCUAUUAUGGCCCCUGCACCUCAACCCCAAGUAAGAGACCGUGGAAGAAGCCCCACCUGACUGCACCGUCACUUUCCAGUAUUGGAUGUGCAUCAUCUGAAACACUUUCAAAUCGAGAGGACCUGCCACCUAUUGAGGAAAGACUGGAAGAUGAGCGCACCAUGGAUGCCUCUGAGGUUCUUGAGGAAACUCUACAGAACAUGAGCAUGCAGGAUGCUGAAUCCCAGCUCAUGAAUGAGCAGGAGAUAAAUGACCUAAAGAACAGUCU
This is a non-coding RNA of Misgurnus anguillicaudatus (oriental weatherfish), 492 nucleotides long. The record is from RefSeq and is a predicted model, not a curated record. NCBI's taxonomy places the organism in Eukaryota, Metazoa, Chordata, Actinopteri, Cypriniformes, Cobitidae.